Molecule: ribosomal RNA, 274 nt
Filed under: uncultured bacterium
Lineage: Bacteria
Description: partial 16 ribosomal RNA
Rfam family: Bacterial small subunit ribosomal RNA
Source: RNAcentral
UAAUGACGGUACCAUUAGAAUAACCCACGGCUAACUACGUGCCAGCAGCCGCGGUAAUACGUAGGUGGCGAGCGUUAUCCGGAUUUAUUGGGUUUAAAGGGUGCGUAGGCGGCUUAAUAAGUCGGUGGUUAAAAGUAGCAGCUUAACUGUUUUACAUGCCAUCGAUACUGUUGAGCUUGAGAUAUUUGGAGGCAGCUAGAAUUUCCGGUGUAGCGGUGAAAUGCAUAGAUACCGGAAGGAAUCCCAAUUGCGAAGGCAGGUUGCUACGAAUAAA